GCUGUUCACUUCGCAUAGGUUUAUUAUACGCCUGCCAUGUGUCGGGCACCGCUUUAUGCAGUGUGUUCAAUCAUUAACGCGAGACUAACAGAAAUUAAUGGAGUUGAUAAGGGAGCUGAAGGAAUCAGUCUGCACCGAUACUUAGAGUAGCCAAGAGGUGAUCGAAUGGAUAAACAAAAGUGCGUACGAGGGCAGAAGGUGUGCAGCUCCCAGAAAAGGGCCUGGACGCAGGCUGCAGCACCAGGACCUCGAGCUCAGGCACUCGAGGCGCUCACCAAAGGACAGACGCUGUGUGACGCCACUCGCUGAGGCUGGCUUUUUGUUGUUGUUGGCCUGUUCCAACUCAGAACGAUGAAGAGCAGAGAGAAAGCUUUUUCUUUCCCUACAGUUUGGAAUGGCACUAAACUAUAUUUUACAUAUGAUUAAAAUGGUAAACUUUA
This is a long non-coding RNA of Octodon degus (degu), 440 nucleotides long. RefSeq lists it as uncharacterized. The record is from RefSeq and is a predicted model, not a curated record. The transcript has 2 exons. Lineage: Eukaryota; Metazoa; Chordata; Mammalia; Rodentia; Octodontidae.